This 497-nucleotide ribosomal RNA is filed under the name uncultured bacterium. Its description in RNAcentral is "partial 16S ribosomal RNA". It matches the Rfam family "Bacterial small subunit ribosomal RNA", at positions 28 to 507 of the family's 1533-position model. The record is from RNAcentral.
GAUGAACGCUGGCGGCGUGCCUAAUACAUGCAAGUCGAGCGAACAGACGAGGAGCUUGCUCCUCUGACGUUAGCGGCGGACGGGUGAGUAACACGUGGAUAACCUACCUAUUAGACUUGGAUAACUUCGGGAAACCGGAGCUAAUACCGGAUAAUAUAUUGAACCGCAUGGUUCAAUAGUGUAAGACGGUUUUGCUGUCACUUAUAGAUUGAUCCGCGCCGCAUUAGCUAGUUGGUAAGGUAACGGCUUACCAAGGCAACGAUGCGUAGCCGACCUGAGAGGGUGAUCGGCCACACUGGAACUGAGACACGGUACAGACACCUACGGGAGGCAGCAGUAGGGAAUCGUCCGCAAUGGGCGAAAGCAUGACGGAGCAACGCCGCGUGAGAGAUGAAGGUCUUCGGAUCGUAAAACUCUGUUAUUAGGGAAGAACAAAUGUGUAAGUAACUAUGCACGGAUUGACGGUACCUAAUCAGAAAGCCACGGCUAACUACGUG